CCAGACUCCUACGGGAGGCAGCAGUGGGGAAUAUUGGGCAAUGGGCGCAAGCCUGACCCAGCAACGCCGCGUGAAGGAAGAAGGCUUUCGGGUUGUAAACUUCUUUUCUGGGGGACGAAGAAAGUGACGGUACCCCAGGAAUAAGCCACGGCUAACUACGUGCCAGCAGCCGCGGUAAUACGUAGGUGGCAAGCGUUAUCCGGAUUUAUUGGGUGUAAAGGGCGUGUAGGCGGAAAUGCAAGUCAGAUGUGAAAACUAUGGGCUCAACCCAUAGCCUGCAUUUGAAACUGUAUUUCUUGAGUGCUGGAGAGGCAAUCGGAAUUCCGUGUGUAGCGGUGAAAUGCGUAGAUAUACGGAGGAACACCAGUGGCGAAGGCGGCCUGCUGGACGACAACUGACGGUGAGGCGCGAAAGCGUGGGGAGCAAACAGGAUUAGAUACCCGGGUAU
RNAcentral lists this ribosomal RNA (448 nucleotides) under uncultured bacterium. RNAcentral describes it as "bacterial SSU rRNA". It matches the Rfam family "Bacterial small subunit ribosomal RNA", at positions 331 to 793 of the family's 1533-position model. The record is from RNAcentral.